RNAcentral lists this ribosomal RNA (778 nucleotides) under uncultured bacterium. RNAcentral's name for it is "bacterial SSU rRNA". It matches the Rfam family "Bacterial small subunit ribosomal RNA", at positions 553 to 1331 of the family's 1533-position model. The record is from RNAcentral.
AUUGGGCGUAAAGAGCUUGUAGGUGGCUUGUCGCGUCUGCCGUGAAAACCCGAGGCUCAACCUCGGGCGUGCGGUGGGUACGGGCAGGCUAGAGUGUGGUAGGGGAGACUGGAACUCCUGGUGUAGCGGUGAAAUGCGCAGAUAUCAGGAAGAACACCGAUGGCGAAGGCAGGUCUCUGGGCCAUUACUGACACUGAGAGGCGAAAGCAUGGGUAGCGAACAGGAUUAGAUACCGUGGUAGUCCAUGCCGUAAACGUUGGGCACUAGGUGUGGGGGACAUUCCACGUUUUCCGCGCCGUAGCUAACGCAUUAAGUGCCCCGCCUGGGGAGUACGGCCGCAAGGCUAAAACUCAAAGGAAUUGACGGGGGCCCGCACAAGCGGCGGAGCAUGCUGAUUAAUUCGAUGCAACGCGAAGAACCUUACCAAGGCUUGACAUGCACUGGACGGCUGCAGAGAUGUGGCUUUCUUUGGACUGGUGCACAGGUGGUGCAUGGUUGUCGUCAGCUCGUGUCGUGAGAUGUUGGGUUAAGUCCCGCAACGAGCGCAACCCUCGUUCUAUGUUGCCAGCACGUGAUGGUGGGGACUCAUAGGAGACUGCCGGGGUCAACUCGGAGGAAGGUGGGAACGACGUCAAAUCAUCAUGCCCCUUAUGUCUUGGGCUUCAAGCAUGCUACAAUGGUCGGUACAAUGGGUUGCGAAACUGUGAGGUGGAGCGAAUCCCAAAAAGCCGGCCUCAGUUCGGAUUGGGGUCUGCAACUCGACCCCAUGAAGUCGGAG